GAUGAACGCUGGCGGCGUGCUUAACACAUGCAAGUCGAACGGAAAGGCCCAAGCUUGCUUGGGUCCUCGAGUGGCGAACGGGUGAGUAACACGUGGGUGAUCUGCCCUGCACUUCGGGAUAAGCCUGGGAAACUGGGUCUAAUACCGGAUAGGACGAUGGUUUGGAUGCCAUUGUGGAAAGUUUUUUCGGUGUGGGAUGAGCUCGCGGCCUAUCAGCUUGUUGGUGGGGUAAUGGCCUACCAAGGCGUCGACGGGUAGCCGGCCUGAGAGGGUGUACGGCCACAUUGGGACGGAGAUACGGCCCAGACUCCUACGGGAGGCAGCAGUGGGGAAUAUUGCACAAUGGGCGCAAGCCUGAUGCAGCGACGCCGCGUGGGGGAUGACGGCCUUCGGGUUGUAAACUCCUUUCGCUAGGGACGAAGCGUUUUUGUGACGGUACCUGGAGAAGAAGCACCGGCUAACUACGUG
This 468-nucleotide ribosomal RNA is filed under the name uncultured bacterium. RNAcentral describes it as "partial 16S ribosomal RNA". It matches the Rfam family "Bacterial small subunit ribosomal RNA", at positions 28 to 507 of the family's 1533-position model. The record is from RNAcentral.